GUCCAUCCAUCACUUGCAGAAAACAAAAGAGAGCAAGAGAGAAGACAGUGGGUGAAGUCCUGGUUCCAGACUCCCCUUUUUGCCGGGAUAUGAUGGAUCUGUCAGCUGGUGCCUAGAGUCCUAGAGAGCUAGAGAUGGAGGGAAAUUCAGAUCAUCUAAACCCUUCAGCCCUUCACUGGACAGAAGAGGAAACUGAGGCUCCAUCUGCAUGACGUUCCCAGAGUCACGGCACAAAUUCAUGGAAGAAGCAGCAGGAAACUCAGUUCUCCAGUCUGGGUCCAAUGUGUGUUUUAGAAAUAUCUCCACAGGGUUAAUGACUCAAUUUUUCAUGCAUGAUUGCUAGUAAUGACAAUCAUGUUAUGUUUGUUUCUGUAGCUUUGGAAAUCACUCCUUCCACUUGAGUUUCAGGUCCCAACUGUCCACACCUGCAGGAGUGAGGUUUUGCUGAGACUGAUAAGGCACUCACAUUUUGUGGGAGUUGAAUUGUCUCUGUAGCCUAGAAUCUAGAUUUUUUUCCCUCCUCUGCUCUCAGUGAACGGAGAAUUCCAUCUCGGUACAAUCUGUGAACCAUUCUGCAGUAAGAUUGUCAUCGUCUCAUUCAUACUACCUGGUCGGUAACACAAAGGGCUGUAAUUGAUGUGGUUCAGAGACUCACAUCCAAGCAAUAAAAAUGAAUCCCUUAUGGUGGUCUGCAGCAACGCAAA
RNAcentral lists this long non-coding RNA (704 nucleotides) under Homo sapiens (human). RNAcentral's name for it is "non-protein coding lnc-ASB13-3:7". The record is from RNAcentral. Lineage: Eukaryota; Metazoa; Chordata; Mammalia; Primates; Hominidae.